Molecule: RNA transcript, 2513 nt
Organism: Equus quagga
Lineage: Eukaryota; Metazoa; Chordata; Mammalia; Perissodactyla; Equidae
Gene: FEZ2
Gene name: fasciculation and elongation protein zeta 2
Exons: 7
Source: RefSeq, a predicted model, not a curated record
GGCCGGGCGCGCGACAGCACAGGGCGGCGAUGGCGGCGGACGGGGACUGGCAGGAUUUCUAUGAGUUCCAGGAGCCGGCCCGGAGCCUCCAGGACCAGGAGAACUGUAACGCGAGCCCCGAGGCCGGGGCAGGGCCGGGCGGGGGAGGCGACGGCUUCCCGGCGCUGGCCUGCAGCUUGGAGGAGAAGCUGAGCCUGUGUUUCCGCCCCUCGGGGCCGGGCGCCGAGCCCCCAAGGGCGGCCGUGCGGCCCAUCACCGAGUGCAGCCUCCUGCAGGGGGACGAGAUUUGGAAUGCCCUGACAGAUAAUUAUGGAAAUGUAAUGCCUGUAGACUGGAAGUCUUCACAUACCAGAACCCUGCAUUUGCUUACUCUGAACCUCUCAGAAAAAGGGAUAAGUGACAGUUUGCUGUUUGAUACCUCAGACGAUGAGGAGCUGAGAGAACAGCUGGAUAUGCAUUCCAUCAUCGUCUCCUGCGUGAAUGAUGAGCCCCUCUUCACUGCAGAUCAGGUUAUUGAAGAAAUCGAAGAAAUGAUGCAGGAAUCACCGGACCCAGAAGAUGAUGAAACGCCCACACAGUCAGAUCGGCUCUCGAUGCUUUCCCAGGAAAUUCAAACUCUUAAGAGGUCUAGUACAAGCAGUUAUGAAGAGAGAGUGAAAAGGCUCUCAGUAUCUGAAUUAAAUGAACUACUGGAAGAAAUUGAGACCGCCAUCAAGGAAUACUCUGAGGAGCUGGUGCAGCAGUUGGCCCUGCGAGAUGAACUGGAGUUUGAAAAGGAAGUGAAAAACAGCUUUAUUUCUGUUCUCAUUGAAGUGCAAAACAAACAGAAAGAGCACAAAGAAACAGCCAAAAAGAAAAAGAAACUCAAGAAUGGCGGCUCUCAGAAUGGGAAGAACGAGAGAGGUCAUAUGCCCGGCACAUGGAACAGAAGGCAGUAGAACCUUACCGGCCACCCCGUUUCUUGCCUGGUCAGGAUGCAGUGGGGCCGGGUUGGCCACAUCUACUGGCUCAGCUCCCAUCAGCCGCAGAGCAGGAGUUCCAAGGAGAGUUCCUUUACUUAACUUCUUUUGCUAGGAUCAGCUGUUAGUUUUGCAUUUUUCCGAGUUACCAUGGCUUCAUAUCAUUGCAUUUUUAUUUCUUUCCACUAAGCCUGGAUUGCAUGAAAGCCAUCUUUCACGAGUAGUCAAGCUACCAGUAGGUGAAAUGGUUCAGCAGUGUCCACAACUGCAUGUUUAAUAAGGAAGCCUAAAUUACACAUAUAGCUUAGGAAUUUAAGAAUUUGCAUCAACUUUUUUUUUUUUCCGGUGACAGGAAUUAAGUUUCCAGUUGGGAAAAUAGAGAUAGUAUCUUUAGAAUGUGUUGUUCAAAUAUAAAGUGUACCUUAGUUUCCUGAUACAUGGAUUCUAAAACUUUUCACCUUGCUUGAGAUUUUCUGAAUUUAUAUCUAGCUCUAACAUGCCCAUGGAUAAUGGAGCGAAGUGAUAUAGAAAAUUAAGUAUUUUUCUCUUUGUUGCUUUUGAAAGAAAAUACAUUCGAUAGAAAUAAUUUUUAAAGGAGGAUCUGACUUAUUUGAAAACAGUUUCCCAUAAUUUUUAUUGCAGCCUCCGGAGCUUAGGAAGUCAUCUCUUUUGAUAAUCUGUUUAAAAAAUGUGAACAAAUUAUAUGAUGGCAUGUGAAAAGUUGACAAAAAUAGUUAAAACCAGCCUACUUCAUCAAAAGUAAUAGUGAUGCUGCCAGCAAACUGAAGCAUGUUCAGUUGAGGUGUCUUGACCAACCUUGGAUUCUUGCUGAGACAAAAUGGCAUGCAGACCUGGGAAGGAGUGGGUGGGGAGGAAGGAUGAUUCAGGAGGAGAGGUGUUAUACGAGUUCCCCAAGACGGUCAAGUUUGGUACAGUACUCAGAUUUUCAGCAAUACCAUUGAGUGUGUGACUGAUACAGAGGUACUUAGCUCCUUCAAAGAUACAACCUUUUGCUGUUUCUCUGCUUUUUAUUGUGAGGACUUCUUUACAUUCUUAAAACUUAUCGAACCCCCCCAGAGAGCUUUUGUUUAUAUAGAUUAUAUUGAUUGAUAUUUACUGUAUUAGAAGUGAAAACUGAGAAAAUUUAAAAAUAUUUAUUAAUUCACUUAAAAGUACCAAUUAGAAAUUCACUAAUGCUUUUAUGAAAAAUAACUGUAUGUAAAAAAAUUAGUGAGAAAAAUAACAUGGCUGUGCAUUUUUGUCAAUUUCAUUAAUAUCUAGGUUAAUCAAAGACAACUAGGUUCUCAAAUCUGCUUCUGCAUUCAAUCUGUCAUUUGUAAUAUUUUACUCUAAGUCAUGAGAGAAGAGAGCAAAAAAGGCAAAUUACAUCUUUGUAUUUCUAAGAAAAUAAUUUUCAGCUCAUGGACCCCUGGGGGAUUCCUGGACCACACUUUGAGAACUGCUUGGCUCAGUUAUACAUUUCUUGAGGACAGAGACCAUUGCUUUGGUUUCCCUUCUUCUAUUCCUUGGAGCCUGCGCUUCAGCAUGGAAGGG